RNAcentral lists this ribosomal RNA (467 nucleotides) under uncultured bacterium. RNAcentral's name for it is "partial 16S ribosomal RNA". It matches the Rfam family "Bacterial small subunit ribosomal RNA", at positions 29 to 507 of the family's 1533-position model. The record is from RNAcentral.
ACGAACGCUGGCGGCGUGCUUAACACAUGCAAGUCGCACGGAAAGGCCCUGCUUUUGUGGGGUGCUCGAGUGGCGAACGGGUGAGUAACACGUGAGUAACCUGCCCUUGACUUUGGGAUAACUUCAGGAAACUGGGGCUAAUACCGGAUAGGAGCUCCUGCUGCAUGGUGGGGGUUGGAAAGUUUCGGCGGUUGGGGAUGGACUCGCGGCUUAUCAGCUUGUUGGUGGGGUAGUGGCUUACCAAGGCUUUGACGGGUAGCCGGCCUGAGAGGGUGACCGGCCACAUAGGGACUGAGAUACGGCCCAGACUCCUACGGGAGGCAGCAGUGGGGAAUAUUGCACAAUGGGCGGAAGCCUGAUGCAGCAACGCCGCGUGCGGGAUGACGGCCUUCGGGUUGUAAACCGCUUUCGCCUGUGACGAAGCGUGAGUGACGGUAAUGGGUAAAGAAGCACCGGCUAACUACGUG